GAUGAACGCUGGCGGCGUGCCUAAUACAUGCAAGUCGAGCGAACGGACGAGAGGCUUGCUUCUCUGAUGUUAGCGGCGGACGGGUGAGUAACACGUGGAUAACCUACCUAUAAGACUGGGAUAACUUCGGGAAACCGGAGCUAAUACCGGAUAAUAUUUUGAACCGCAUGGUUCAAAAGUAAAAGACGGUCUUGCUGUCACUUAUAGAUGGAUCCGCGCUGCAUUAGCUAGUUGGUAAGGUAACGGCUUACCAAGGCAACGAUGCAUAGCCGACCUGAGAGGGUGAUCGGCCACACUGGAACUGAGACACGGUCCAGACUCCUACGGGAGGCAGCAGUAGGGAAUCUUCCGCAAAGGGCGAAAGCCUGACGGAGCAACGCCGCGUGAGUGAUGAAGGUCUUCGGAUCGUAAAACUCUGUUAUUAGGGAAGAACAUAUGUGUAAGUAACUGUGCACAUCUUGACGGUACCUAAUCAGAAAGCCACGGCUAACUACGUG
Molecule: ribosomal RNA, 497 nt
Filed under: uncultured bacterium
Lineage: Bacteria
Description: partial 16S ribosomal RNA
Rfam family: Bacterial small subunit ribosomal RNA
Source: RNAcentral